RNAcentral lists this long non-coding RNA (2249 nucleotides) under Homo sapiens (human). RNAcentral describes it as "HSALNT0248041". The record is from RNAcentral. Lineage: Eukaryota; Metazoa; Chordata; Mammalia; Primates; Hominidae.
AGAACACAGAUUUUAUUUUUACAAUGAAAAAUGUGAAUAGGUUAUAUUUAUUAACUAAAUGAGAUAAAAUCAAAUUCAUAUAAUAAAAUAAUUUUGUGUUGCUUGAUAAAAAUAUACUUAAAUCAAAAUUAAGAUAAAAGUUGAAUAUGAAACCAUGGACAAAUAUAUACCAGGUAGAUGAGUUUUUAAAAAAAAACAAUUAAGUGAUGAUUAAAUAAAGAAUCCUAUUGCUUGCUUAGCAUCAUUUAUAUAAUGUGUGAAAUACUAAUUUUUAAAUGUGUUUGUGUAAGUGUAACAAUUGGACACAAAUAGCCAAGAUAUAUUUUACAAAGAAAUAGAAUUAAGGUAAUGCUAGAUAUUAAAUCUCAUUCUCUUGCUUAGUUGCACUAUCCGUUGUUGAAAGUAGAAUAGUGAAGUCUUUAUUACCGGUAAAUUGUCUAUUGCUCUCUUCAAUUCUGUCAGUUUUGCUUCAUGUAUUUUGAGAUUCUGUUGUUACAUAUACAUAUAUUUAUAUUUGUUAUACCUUCUUGGUGAAUUUACCCUUAUGUCAUUAUAAAAUGUCCUUUGUCUCCAGGAACAACAUGUGUCUAUUUUGUCUAAUAUUAGCAUAGUCCCUCCAGCUCUCUGUUGGUUAUCCAUCUCUUUCCAUCAUAUUAAUUUCAACCAAUUUGUGUCUUUGAAUCAAAAGUGUGUUUCUUGUAUACAUAUUGUUGGAUAGAUAUAGCGUAUAUUUAUACAAUGUUUUUUUCAUUCACUCUUCCAAUUUCUGACUUUUAAUUGGAGAAUUUAAUCUAUUACUAUUUAAUAUAAGUAAGAUAGAAUUUACGUCUGCCAUUUUGUUAUUUGUUUUUUACGUGACUUACGUCUUUUUUGUUCUUCCUUUUUUUUUCCAUUACUGCCUUGUGUUAAAUAGAUAUCUUCCAGUACCACUUCUAUUUUCCAGUUAGUUCUUUUACUAUAUAUUUUUGAGUAUUUUAUCAUGAUUAUUAUUGGGGUUACCAUUAGCAUUUUAGCUUACAAUAAUCUAGUUUGGAUUACUACCAACUACUUCAAUAGUAUUUUUUUUAAUUUUGUUUCUAUAUAGCUUUGUUCCCCUACCCCUUAGGGCUGUUAUGGUCCCAAUAUACAUCUUCAUAUAUUUUGAGGCCUUAAUACAUUGUGUAUCAAUCUACUUAGAUGUACAAUUAUUGCAUUAGGCAGUAGUCUUUUAAAUCAGAUAGGAUAUUUUAAGAGGAGCUACAAACAAAACCAAAUUUCUACUUUCUUCUAUAUUUAUAUCUGUCCCAGGCAUAACCAUCUUAGAUCAUCCAGUCACCAGUCAACAACCCUCCAGCUGAGUGAGCCUAACCAAGAUCACCCUUGCCCUGUCCCAACCAGAAGAACCACCCAGCUGACCCUAGGCUCAUGAGCAAUCAUAAAUGUUUAUUGCUUUGCUCCACCAAGCUUUGAAGUGGUUUUCUUUACAGCAUUAUUGUGGAAGUAGAUAAAAAGUGAUUUAGUAAAUUUUUCUGUUUGAUUUGUGAUGUAUCCUUUUUCAUUCUGCUUCUUCACAUGCUACAUUCUGUAUCACCUCCAUUGUUCCUUCCAUCUAUCCAGUCUUUUUUUGCCAACACCACCCUUUUUGAUUUUUCACUUUUCUGUAUAUUCCAAUAUUUCAUUUUCCAAGAAAUGGGUAUUAAAUUCUUCUGCCACUUUCUCAGCAUAGAGGAUAUUGUAUGUUUUUUCUUAUUGGUUCUAUUGAUGUAAUGUUAUAUAUUCAUGAUUUAAUAAAUUAAACUGCUCAUGAAUUCAUGCAAAUAGGUUUUUCUCAGGAAUUCAUGAGACAGGUCUCAAUCAGUUUUGAAGUUUAUUUUGCCAAGGUCGAGGAUGUGACCAGGAGACAGGUCUGUGCCUUUCUUGAAAGAUGAUUUUGACGGCUUCAAUAUUUAACGGGAACAAGUGGCCUGAUUUUGGUAAUUAUGCUGUGGUUAUGUAAGAGAAUGCCCUUGUUCUUAGGUGAUGUUCCAAUUCAGAAUUUCAAAUUCCCAGAUUCUCGUGGACCCACUGGCCCUGCAGAAGUGGCCCACUUCCCCUGGUCAGAAGGUGACUGUCCCAGUAGUUUGAUGAUCAUGCAGAGGCCUCAGUUGAGGCAGAUUCUUUAUGAGACAUUCUUGCAUCCUCUCAGGAUAAGCCCCUACCUUCUCUCUUGACAACCAGACCAUUAACCAGGAUCAAAUUCCAGAAGACCAACUGGGCAUGUGAAGGCCUGU